Molecule: ribosomal RNA, 253 nt
Filed under: uncultured bacterium
Lineage: Bacteria
Description: partial 16S ribosomal RNA
Rfam family: Bacterial small subunit ribosomal RNA
Source: RNAcentral
GACGUAGGGCGCGAGCGUUGUCCGGAUUUAUUGGGCGUAAAGAGCUCGUAGGCGGCUUGUCGCGUCGACUGUGAAAACCCGCGGCUCAACUGUGGGCUUGCAGUCGAUACGGGCAGGCUGGAGUUCGGGAGAGGGAAGCGGAAUUCCGGGUGUAGCGGUGAAAUGCGCAGAUAUCCGGAGGAACACCGGUGGCGAAGGCAGCUUCCUGGACCGACACUGACGCUGAGGCGCGAAAGCUAGGGGAGCAAACGGG